GGACGCUUAGCUCAGCUGGUUCAGAGCAUCUCGCUUACACCGAGAGGGUCGUAGGUUCGAAUCCUACAGCGUCCACCA
This 78-nucleotide transfer RNA is filed under the name Candidatus Uhrbacteria bacterium. Its description in RNAcentral is "tRNA-Val". It matches the Rfam family "tRNA". Rfam says of the family: Transfer RNA (tRNA) molecules are approximately 80 nucleotides in length. Their secondary structure includes four short double-helical elements and three loops (D, anti-codon, and T loops). Further hydrogen bonds mediate the characteristic L-shaped molecular structure. tRNAs have two regions of fundamental functional importance: the anti-codon, which is responsible for specific mRNA codon recognition, and the 3' end, to which the tRNAs corresponding amino acid is attached (by aminoacyl-tRNA synthetases). tRNAs cope with the degeneracy of the genetic code in two manners: having more than one tRNA (with a specific anti-codon) for a particular amino acid; and 'wobble' base-pairing, i.e. permitting non-standard base-pairing at the 3rd anti-codon position. The record is from RNAcentral. Lineage: Bacteria; Candidatus Uhriibacteriota.